Molecule: ribosomal RNA, 301 nt
Filed under: uncultured bacterium
Lineage: Bacteria
Description: partial 16S ribosomal RNA
Rfam family: Bacterial small subunit ribosomal RNA
Source: RNAcentral
CAGUCGCCACGGUAAAACGAAGGGGGCUAGCGUUGUUCGGAAUUACUGGGCGUAAAGCGCACGUAGGCGGCUUGGUAAGUUAGAGGUGAAAGCCCAGGGCUCAACCCUGGAAUUGCCUUUAAGACUGCCGAGCUAGUAGGUGAGAGAUGUGAGUGGAAUUCCGAGUGUAGAGGUGAAAUUCGUAGAUAUUCGGAAGAACACCAGUGGCGAAGGCGGCUCACUGGCUCAUUCUAGACGCUGAGGUGCGAAAGCGUGGGGAGCAAACAGGAUUAGAGACCCCAGUAGUCCUGUCUCUUAUACC